GUGGUGGCUUCCUGAUUAGAAGGCUGCAGAGAUUUAUCGAGAAGCUGCUGCUCCAGCUUCAGAAGAUCUUUUGAAGAUCUUCCAGAUCAGAUCCAGAUCUGAUUUUUGAAAUAAAGAUUCACGAAGAGAAGACGAUCCAGAUCCUGCUUGAGUGGAUACCGGUAGAGGUCAGACGACUGCGUGGCUAUUUUAGAACCUCGGACAUUACUGUG
RNAcentral lists this long non-coding RNA (212 nucleotides) under Elaeis guineensis (African oil palm). RNAcentral describes it as "long non-coding RNA (EGUI_LNC030535)". Lineage: Eukaryota; Viridiplantae; Streptophyta; Magnoliopsida; Arecales; Arecaceae. The record is from RNAcentral.